This 141-nucleotide small nuclear RNA is filed under the name Callithrix jacchus (white-tufted-ear marmoset). Its description in RNAcentral is "U4 spliceosomal RNA (ENSCJAG00000076059.1)". It matches the Rfam family "U4 spliceosomal RNA", at positions 16 to 138 of the family's 138-position model. From Rfam's summary of the family: U4 small nuclear RNA (U4 snRNA) is a component of the major U2-dependent spliceosome. The structure of U4 snRNA from yeast and human has been reported. The record is from RNAcentral. Lineage: Eukaryota; Metazoa; Chordata; Mammalia; Primates; Cebidae.
CUCCAGUAUCGUAGCCAAUGAGGUUUAUCUGAGGCACAAUUAUUGCUAAUUGAAAACUAAAAAAAAAAAAAAAAAAAAAAAAAAAAGAAUGGCCACUCUUUUUUGUUUGUUUGUUUUGUUUUUGAGACGGAGUUUCGCUCU